UUAUGGCCAUAUCACUUUGAAACACCAGUUCUUAUGCUAUCACUGAAGUUAAGCAACUGAGCUUGGUCAGUACCUUGAUGGGUAACUGCUAGGGAAUACCAGGCGCUGUAAG
This is a non-coding RNA of Acanthosepion pharaonis, 112 nucleotides long. The record is from the annotation of a GenBank genome assembly. NCBI's taxonomy places the organism in Eukaryota, Metazoa, Mollusca, Cephalopoda, Sepiida, Sepiidae.